CUUAAACUAAACAUUGUCCUCAAUGUUUUAAGGAAAUGAAAUACAAGAUGGAAAGGAAAAAGAAAAUAACAACUAAGGCUGCCUUCCGCCUCUGGUUCUUGGACCUGGUGAUCUUUGACGUAUGUCUAAGUUGUCGAACCUGUUGAACAAUUCAGUAAACCGCUGGUCGGUUAUGGCAUUCCGAGCGUCCUGUUGCUGUUGCAUUUGACGCAUCAUCUGCAUC
RNAcentral lists this long non-coding RNA (223 nucleotides) under Lathyrus oleraceus (garden pea). RNAcentral describes it as "Pisum sativum (pea) long non-coding RNA (PSAT_LNC032802)". The record is from RNAcentral. Lineage: Eukaryota; Viridiplantae; Streptophyta; Magnoliopsida; Fabales; Fabaceae.